RNAcentral lists this non-coding RNA (148 nucleotides) under Acinetobacter baylyi. Its description in RNAcentral is "RFN". It matches the Rfam family "FMN riboswitch aptamer (RFN element)". Rfam says of the family: The RFN element is a highly conserved domain that is found frequently in the 5'-untranslated regions of prokaryotic mRNAs that encode for flavin mononucleotide (FMN) biosynthesis and transport proteins. This element is a metabolite-dependent riboswitch that directly binds FMN in the absence of proteins. In Bacillus subtilis, the riboswitch most likely controls gene expression by causing premature transcription termination within the 5' untranslated region of the ribDEAHT operon and precluding access to the ribosome-binding site of ypaA mRNA. Lineage: Bacteria; Pseudomonadati; Pseudomonadota; Gammaproteobacteria; Moraxellales; Moraxellaceae. The record is from RNAcentral.
ACAUCGCUUCAGGGCGGGGCGUAAUUCCCCACCGGCGGUAAGCUCAACACGAGCAAGCCCGCGAGCAAUUGGACCAUUUAAUGGCGUCAAUCGCAGAUCUGGUGUAAAUCCAGAGCCGACGGUAUAGUCCGGAUGAAAGAAGACGACG